This 488-nucleotide ribosomal RNA is filed under the name uncultured bacterium. RNAcentral's name for it is "bacterial SSU rRNA". It matches the Rfam family "Bacterial small subunit ribosomal RNA", at positions 28 to 505 of the family's 1533-position model. The record is from RNAcentral.
GAUGAACGCUAGCUACAGGCUUAACACAUGCAAGUCGAGGGGCAGCAUGAUCAAAGCUUGCUUUGAUUGAUGGCGACCGGCGCACGGGAGAGUAACGCGUAUCCAACCUUCCCCUUAGUAGGGCAUAGCCCGGCGAAAGUCGGAUUAAUACCCUAUGUUAUUCGUCGAGGACAUCUGAAGUGAAUCAAAGAUUUAUCGCUAAGGAAUGGGGAUGCGUCUGAUUAGGUUGUUGGCGGGGUAACGGCCCACCAAGCCAUCGAUCAGUAGGGGUUCUGAGAGGAAGGUCCCCCACAUUGGUACUGAGACACGGACCAAACUCCUACGGGAGGCAGCAGUGAGGAAUAUUGGUCAAUGGGCGAGAGCCUGAACCAGCCAAGUAGCGUGCAGGAUGACUGCCCUAUGGGUUGUAAACUGCUUUUAUACGGGGAUAAAGUGAGGUAUGCAUACCUUUUUGUAGGUACCGUAUGAAUAAGGACCGGCUAAUUCCG